UUAAGCGACUAAGCGUACACGGUGGAUGCCCUGGCAGUCAGAGGCGAUGAAGGACGUGCUAAUCUGCGAUAAGCGUCGGUAAGGUGAUAUGAACCGUUAUAACCGGCGAUUUCCGAAUGGGGAAACCCAGUGUGUUUCGACACACUAUCAUUAACUGAAUCCAUAGGUUAAUGAGGCGAACCGGGGGAACUGAAACAUCUAAGUACCCCGAGGAAAAGAAAUCAACCGAGAUUCCCCCAGUAGCGGCGAGCGAACGGGGAGCAGCCCAGAGCCUGAAUCAGUGUGUGUGUUAGUGGAAGCGUCUGGAAAGGCGCGCGAUACAGGGUGACAGCCCCGUACACAAAAACGCACAUACUGUGAGCUCGAUGAGUAGGGCGGGACACGUGGUAUCCUGUCUGAAUAUGGGGGGACCAUCCUCCAAGGCUAAAUACUCCUGACUGACCGAUAGUGAACCAGUACCGUGAGGGAAAGGCGAAAAGAACCCCGGCGAGGGGAGUGAAAAAGAACCUGAAACCGUGUACGUACAAGCAGUGGGAGCACGCUUAGGCGUGUGACUGCGUACCUUUUGUAUAAUGGGUCAGCGACUUAUAUUCUGUAGCAAGGUUAACCGAAUAGGGGAGCCGAAGGGAAACCGAGUCUUAACUGGGCGUUAAGUUGCAGGGUAUAGACCCGAAACCCGGUGAUCUAGCCAUGGGCAGGUUGAAGGUUGGGUAACACUAACUGGAGGACCGAACCGACUAAUGUUGAAAAAUUAGCGGAUGACUUGUGGCUGGGGGUGAAAGGCCAAUCAAACCGGGAGAUAGCUGGUUCUCCCCGAAAGCUAUUUAGGUAGCGCCUCGUGAAUUCAUCUCCGGGGGUAGAGCACUGUUUCGGCAAGGGGGUCAUCCCGACUUACCAACCCGAUGCAAACUGCGAAUA
Molecule: ribosomal RNA, 918 nt
Filed under: Escherichia coli P0302308.1
Lineage: Bacteria; Pseudomonadati; Pseudomonadota; Gammaproteobacteria; Enterobacterales; Enterobacteriaceae
Description: bacterial LSU rRNA
Rfam family: Bacterial large subunit ribosomal RNA
Source: RNAcentral